AUUGAACGCUGGCGGCAUGCCUUACACAUGCAAGUCGAACGGUAACGCGGGGCAACCUGGCGACGAGUGGCGAACGGGUGAGUAAUGCAUCGGAACGUACCCAGUAGUGGGGGAUAGCCCGGCGAAAGCCGGAUUAAUACCGCAUACGACCUAAGGGUGAAAGCGGGGGACCGUAAGGCCUCGCGCUAUUGGAGCGGCCGAUGUCAGAUUAGGUAGUUGGUGGGGUAAAGGCCUACCAAGCCUUCGAUCUGUAGCUGGUCUGAGAGGACGACCAGCCACACUGGGACUGAGACACGGCCCAGACUCCUACGGGAGGCAGCAGUGGGGAAUUUUGGACAAUGGGCGCAAGCCUGACCCAGCCAUGCCGCGUGAGUGAAGAAGGCCUCGGUUGUAAGC
RNAcentral lists this ribosomal RNA (396 nucleotides) under uncultured bacterium. Its description in RNAcentral is "bacterial SSU rRNA". It matches the Rfam family "Bacterial small subunit ribosomal RNA", at positions 29 to 431 of the family's 1533-position model. The record is from RNAcentral.